RNAcentral lists this long non-coding RNA (6725 nucleotides) under Lotus japonicus. RNAcentral's name for it is "long non-coding RNA (LJAP_LNC001123)". Lineage: Eukaryota; Viridiplantae; Streptophyta; Magnoliopsida; Fabales; Fabaceae. The record is from RNAcentral.
CCGGCAGCAAGUAGUACUUGGUAUGGGUGGAAAUUUAGGCAGCUUACUGAACCAAUUUUCUGGGCCAUUAGGGUAGGAUAGUAACGAAUGGUGCCCAGUUGAUCACCCUCCAGGUUAAAAACUUUAAUGAGUUGUUUGGCAGAACCGCUGGCAAUAAUUGGAGCGUGUCUAUGUACUGCUAAAGCUGUAAGGGAACCCCUGUGAGCUGAAAUAGUGAGAUAGGCGCUGCUGUGAUUUCUUAUAUCAAGGAAUUGGAUAUCCCCAGCCUGAGAAGCACUAACAAUCUGAAGGAAAGCAACAAAUGUGAUAAUCUAAUCAUCCAUUUCAAACCAAAUUCAUAGACCAUAAUCACCAAACUCCUACCAAGGUAUAGAGUACAAACAUUGUAUGCAAGGGAUAUUAAAAAAAUGUAUGAAACUAGCAACAUGCUCUUUUUACCUUUCCUGGGUCCAACCCAGGUUGAAAGCCAAUCCCCACAACUUUUUCUACUCCUUGUGUGUGUGGCUGUAAUCCACAGACGAGCCUAAGAAGCAUCAUUGUCAUUAGUCAUUAUGAGAUUCGAAGUAAAGAGGUAGAGGCUUCUAAAUGAACUCUUAAAAAGAGUAAGAUUUAGGUACAAGCAGGUAAACAUGUCAAAAGAAUAAUAUCAUAUAACUGAGAAUAAGGACACUGCUCAAAUCGAUCUGAUCAGUUAAGAAGAACUAACAACAAGUUUCUACUUUUUAUAUUUCGUCAUGAUGGCAGAAAUUCAUCUGAGGUGCUUACAUUUCAGGUGUUCUGACAUCAUAGAGUCUGACGAAACCAUCUACAAACCCAGCUGCAAAUUGUCCCCCAUGAACUUGAGAUGCGGCCUGAAACAAAGAUAUAUAGUGCAUAAAAAGGGAAAAAUUGUUCAUAAAUAAUUUCUAUAUAGAAGCAUGAUCUGGUUACAGAUGGAAUAAAAUAAUACUAGAAUCACAUCCCAUCAUAACUGUACUACAACAAUGUACAAGAGCAGUCAACUCAGAUCUUCCUUUGCAACUUCUAAAAACUUAUACUGGAAAUUGGAAAAGACAAAAUAAACUAUUUGAGAACAUAUCGCAACGAGCUCCAAGUUUCUUAGUUGCUCAAAGAAAAUCAUAUAAACCAUAUCAUCGAAUCUUCAAUCAUGCCAACAUAUUUAAAGAGAGGCUGAUAAGAAUUGAAAUUUCCAGAACGUAAACAGAAGAUCCACAAAGUGUUUUUAGGUCUUGAGUUAAACACAAACAGGUGAUUUGAAGAAGUCAUGAAGGGGGGGGAGGGGAUGUUUCUAAGUAACAGCAGAUAUUGGUCCUUAUUACAGAGAAAAUAAAUAAAUAUAUAAACAGGUUACAAGACAUGAACUCAACAGUUAAGAGCUCUAAAUUAAAUGUAAUGGGCUUGCCACACUGAAUAAAAAUAUUAGCCCCAAAUUUCUUCAGAAUACAACAUAGUACAUGUCUUUUCAAGGAUAAACUCUAUUAAGCUAUCACGUCAACAUAAUUUGAGCAAAUAUAAUAAUUUCCAUUGCUAACUACCAUCAUACAUAGAUGAAGCUUACCAAUGCAGACACACUGCAAUCUGAUGCUGAAGGUAUAGCAUUAAGAAGUUGCUCUUUAUCAAGAUCCCAUAGCAUAAUAGAUGAUAUCUCACCCGAUGCAUACUGGUACAUGCAUAAAUGCAACAUGGAACAACAUAAAAAAUCACUAACAUCACUUUAAGGGAAGAAUAAAGAAUUGGAGUUCAUGUUUUAGGGAUUUGGUAUAAGAAAAUAUCCCACAUUCCUAAGAAUAAUCAAAGAGGAAUUGUAUACCAGAUAACCACAUUGCUGUUGCCAAUCAACAACUGCAUUCAAACUCCUCACACCAGGUUUAUGACCAUGAAUUGAAGAGAAUGCAGAUACAAGCUUCUGUUUACCCUUUAGAGUAUAAUCUUUCCAAAUUCGAAUAUUUCCAUCAGCUGCAUCAUAAGAUUACCUGAUAUUUAGUACUGCAACAAUAAUUUGUGAAUAGAAUGCAUAGUAUUAAACAGAAGAUAACAUUACAUGAAGCAGCAAGAAGCAAGCUAUCAUCAAGCUCAUUCACUAGGCAGAGUUUAGAAAUUCCUUUGUCAGGAAAAUCAUUGUUAUCAAAGCUGUUGAGAAGUGAUGCUUCUUCAUGGUUCCAUACCCUGUGGAAAACUCCCAAUAACAUUAGACAAGCCAAAAUGAUGCAAUACAAGGACUAACAACAAUGAGAUUCUUCAAGACUAAAAAAAUAUUCUGACCAAAUUGAAACACAUCGUAAUGUCCAUAAAAAUAUCUAAAAAAUGUGGCUGUUUAGAUUCUUAAGUAGCUAUAUCUGAUAAAUGUUGCUCAAUCUUCCUGAGUCUACCAAUCCUGAAGGUGAACAAGAUCUGGAAAUUUAUUACUCUUAUCAAUUUGGAUUAGGCCUUUUAAUUAAUUGCCUUCACACUAAAGCCCCAUCAUGAUCUUCAUCUAAAGUCAUGCCCAGUUUGAUAACAGUCUGCACUUAACUAAAAAUAAUAUUGAUGAACUUCACAUACCUGAUACGUUCAUUCUCAUCAGCAGCUAUCACUAUAGGAGAGAAAGGUUGCAGCAACACUGUUUGUGUACCCUUAGUGUCCCAUUUAGCAAUAGGAUUUGUUAGUCUGGUCACAGCUGACAGCAGAAAAUGAAGUGAAGUUCCCAACUGGACAUUUAUAAAAUACUUGCUUAAUUGGAUAAGAAAAAUGAAAUACAAACCUGAGUGCUGGCAUUUUGCUAUGUGCUCCAAUGCAUAUUUUUCCCUCUCUUCUCUUCUUGCUAAUACUUCUUCACUAUCAUCUGCCGCAGUUAAAAGUGGUUUGGAAAAGUGCCCACAACUCCAAUUAUAUAUAGUUGAUUGUGGAAGAAAACUGCGAUCUGAACUCCCCGCAGCUCCAGCCGAACCUAAAAGUGGAUCAGCUAAUCCUGAGUCUGGAGAAGUCAUCAGGUGGGGCCUAAACUCCAAUGAACAUACUCUGCGCAUUCCAGUUAUAUAACUUGGGCGAGGAGGACUGACUGGAGGAGUUCUGAAGGUUAGAGGCAAGUGUCCUGCAAAAGCAGCAUACAAUAAUAAACAAAAAAAGAAAAUAACAUAGCAGCAUGAAUUAUCACAAAAUUAAAAUCUGAUGCAAAGAGAUAAACAGAUAAACCUUACCAAACUGAAUUGAAAAUUAUCCCAGGAUAUUAAUCGUCAAAUAAAAAGAGAGGGCGGCUUACCUCCAUUCAUAUCAAACCAAGAAGAUGAGCGAACAAGUCCAGCAAGGCUAGGAGUGGCUGUAGCUUCACUAAGACGAACACCAGUAGAUUUCAAUGGAUUUGCUACAACUUGUUCAAUACCUAUUAUGGAAAGUACUCGGCGGCCAAGGUUAGCAAUGCGGGGCGAUGGAUCUUUUGCUAAAGUACACAUAGCAAGUACACAUUGUGAAUAUAAUGCAUUAUCCAAGGGUUUUGGCCCAGUGUGGUUAACCACUCCAUUACUGAAACCAUCAUUCAAUAUUCCUGAAUCAGAAUGAUGAGAUGAAUCAUCAGACAUCGGGGACCCAUGCAUGAUUCCAGAACUAGCGAGAGGACUGCUAGAUGAGAUCCGCCCAUCUCGAACCACUUUAGAAUUCUCACUCCCAACCCUGAGAGGACCAAUUUGAGGUGAAACAAUAUUUCCAUGAGGCUUAUGCUGGUUCUGGUUAGAAAAACCACCAACGGAAUCUUUAAUAUUAGUCAAUGAGGGUAAGGAAUUUAUCAAAGAACUAGUCUGAGGCUUCCAAUAUGCAGCAGCAAUAGAUUUCAGGUACUUGUUGUGGCCAAAAGCAAACCUUGCUAAAGCUGAAAGUAGAAAGAAAACCUAUGUAAGAUAUCUUAGAUUCAGCCUACCAGUCCAUCCAUACCAUAAAGACAACAUAUGUUAAUCUUAAACAGAUGCACAAGCCAACCAUCUAACCAUGCAUAAGAUUUAGCAAUCAUCAUUAAAAAAAUCAGAUAAUAAAUCAAAAACACAAAUUAAAAAAACAAUAUGAUGGUUUUCAAUGCAUGUUUAACCAUUUUAUCAUUGGAUUUUUCUUUUUCAUUCGAAUUUUUAUUCCUUUUUCUAACUUCAAGUCUAUUAGCCGAUAAUAGCUUGUCUGAAGAUGAUUAAGAAUUUGUUGAGACCAUAACUAAAAACAAAGAAAAAAUAAUUAACUCGCAGUAUCAGUACUAUCCAUCUUAUCAUAAUCGUAAUAAUAUAGAACAUUUUUUCAACAACAUUCAAAUUAAAAUAUAAUUCAGAUAUUUAAUCACCUACCCACUGCAACCUCAGCCCUCACCAACGGACUCCCAUCUGAAGCAACACUCAACAGACUCUUAACUAUACUAACUUCAGCCCUAAACUUGCCAUCAUCAUCACAUUCUUCACCUCCUCCAACACUUCCACAUGAAUCAAAUCCCACAUCAAGAAGUGUGCCCAGUGCAAAAACAGCAGAUGCUCUAACCUGAGAAGCAAUAAAUUACAUGACUUGAUUAUUUAAAUAUUAAAAAAAAAUUUAAUCAUCUUGCAAUGAGAACUAGAAAAAGUAUAGUAAGUGUGGCAGUACCUCUGGCUGGGGUUCAGAAAGUAGAGGAGCAUAUAUAGAAGUAGCAUCUUCAUGCAAACCGAUUGCUUGCGCCUCUGUGUAGUCUUCCCACAAUUUCCCCAGACACAAGCACAGCCACUGAAGGAAAAGGGGUUCGGUUUGUGAAUCAUUGAGAGAUGAGCUCUGAAGGUGCUUUAAGCAGACUUGGAUCAAACCAGCUUCAAUACAAGCUUCUUGACCUCUUCUAUGACCAUCCACAAUCACAGCUAAAACAAAAGCAGCCAUUGCUCGUUGCUCUGGAUAUGCUUCCAUGCUAUCAAGAAACUUAAUAAAAUAGAUAUGACCUCCAUCUUUCACUAGAGCAACCUGACAUGACAACAACACGUAUGGAACAUCAAAAUUGAAAGACACAGUCAACAUAAAGCAUGAAGGGUUUCAACACCAAAUUGUAGCAGAAAAAUAGAAAAUGAGAUACAUAUUAGAAGACAAAAACAUGAAGCCUUGUAAUAUUCACAAUUGUUCAAUUAUCAAUUCGAAUUUAUAUUAUAUAAUUAUAUAACUAAGCACCAAUAAAAGGCAUGAUCGCAUGAACCCCCCCCCCCCCAAACUUUUACACUUUUGGAAAGUACUCGGCGGCCAAGGUUAGCAAUGCGGGGCGAUGGAUCUUUUGCUAAAGUACACAUAGCAAGUACACAUUGUGAAUAUAAUGCAUUAUCCAAGGGUUUUGGCCCAGUGUGGUUAACCACUCCAUUACUGAAACCAUCAUUCAAUAUUCCUGAAUCAGAAUGAUGAGAUGAAUCAUCAGACAUCGGGGACCCAUGCAUGAUUCCAGAACUAGCGAGAGGACUGCUAGAUGAGAUCCGCCCAUCUCGAACCACUUUAGAAUUCUCACUCCCAACCCUGAGAGGACCAAUUUGAGGUGAAACAAUAUUUCCAUGAGGCUUAUGCUGGUUCUGGUUAGAAAAACCACCAACUGAAUCUUUAAUAUUAGUCAAUGAGGGUAAGGAAUUUAUCAAAGAACUAGUCUGAGGCUUCCAAUAUGCAGCAGCAAUAGAUUUCAGGUACUUGUUGUGGCCAAAAGCAAACCUUGCUAAAGCUGAAAGUAGAAAGAAAACCUAUGUAAGAUAUCUUAGAUUCAGCCUACCAGUCCAUCCAUACCAUAAAGACAACAUAUGUUAAUCUUAAACAGAUGCACAAGCCAACCAUCUAACCAUGCAUAAGAUUUAGCAAUCAUCAUUAAAAAAAUCAGAUAAUAAAUCAAAAACACAAAUUAAAAAAACAAUAUGAUGGUUUUCAAUGCAUGUUUAACCAUUUUAUCAUUGGAUUUUUCUUUUUCAUUCGAACUUUUAUUCCUUUUUCUAACUUCAAGUCUACUAGCCGAUAAUAGCUUGUCUGAAGAUGAUUAAGAAUUUGUUGAGACCAUAACUAAAAACAAAGAAAAAAUAAUUAACUCGCAGUAUCAGUACUAUCCAUCUUAUCAUAAUCGUAAUAAUAUAGAACAUUUUUUCAACAACAUUCAAAUUAAAAUAUAAUUCAGAUAUUUAAUCACCUACCCACUGCAACCUCAGCCCUCACCAACGGACUCCCAUCUGAAGCAACACUCAACAGACUCUUAACUAUACUAACUUCAGCCCUAAACUUGUCAUCAUCAUCACAUUCUUCAUCUCCUCCAACACUUCUACAUGAAUCAAAUCCCACAUCAAGAAGUGUGCCCAGUGCAAAAACAGCAGAUGCUCUAACCUGAGAAGCAAUAAAUUACAUGACUUGAUUAUUUAAAUAUUAAAAAAAAAUUUAAUCAUCUUGCAAUGAGAACUAGAAAAAGUAUAGUAAGUGUGGCAGUACCUCUGGCUGGGGUUCAGAAAGUAGAGGAGCAUAUAUAGAAGUAGCAUCUUCAUGCAAACCGAUUGCUUGCGCCUCUGUGUAGUCUUCCCACAAUUUCCCCAGACACAAGCACAGCCACUGAAGGAAAAGGGGUUCGGUUUGUGAAUCAUUGAGAGAUGAGCUCUGAAGGUGCUUUAAGCAGACUUGGAUCAAACCAGCUUCAAUACAAGCUUCUUGACCUCUUCUAUGACCAUCCACAAUCACAGCUAAAACAAAAGCAGCCAUUGCUCGUUGCUCUGGAUAUGCUUCCAUGCUAUCAAGAAACUUAAUAAAAUAGA